AUACUUGACAUAGCUUGCAGAUCUAAUACACUAAGAACGUAUAUUUUAUACUAUGGCAAUAAAAUUUACCUUGCAAUAGGUGUAUUGGACCCGAGGGCAGUACUCGGCGCCUCCACCAUUUUUAUUAUAUAUGGGGGCGAAUAAGAAUCGACAUGCAAAAUAAAGAUGGUAUUUUUGCUCGGUUAUGCACCACCGAUAAGAGCGCGUAAAGUAAAUGCAAACGAUAAUGUUGCUGCCAAUGGUAAUAGACUGUAUGUUGCUGCUUAAUUAGAGUACAACUAGUUUAAUACUUAAGCACGGUUUUAGGGAACACCGGGUAACAGAAGUUCCCUAAC
This 335-nucleotide transfer-messenger RNA is filed under the name Wolbachia endosymbiont of Howardula sp. It matches the Rfam family "Alphaproteobacteria transfer-messenger RNA". From Rfam's summary of the family: Bacterial tmRNA, also known as 10Sa RNA or SsrA, is named for its dual tRNA and mRNA-like properties. Its role is to liberate the mRNA from a stalled ribosome. The record is from RNAcentral. Lineage: Bacteria; Pseudomonadati; Pseudomonadota; Alphaproteobacteria; Rickettsiales; Anaplasmataceae.